This 253-nucleotide ribosomal RNA is filed under the name uncultured bacterium. RNAcentral describes it as "partial 16S ribosomal RNA". It matches the Rfam family "Bacterial small subunit ribosomal RNA", at positions 524 to 776 of the family's 1533-position model. The record is from RNAcentral.
UACGAAGGGGGCUAGCGUUGUUCGGAAUUACUGGGCGUAAAGCGUGCGCAGGCGGCUUCUCAAGUCAGGGGUGAAAGCCCAGAGCUCAACUCUGGAAUUGCCUUUGAGACUGAGUGGCUUGAGUACGGGAGAGGUGAGUGGAAUUCCCAAUGUAGAGGUGAAAUUCGUAGAUAUUGGGAAGAACACCGGUGGCGAAGGCGGCAUCCUGGACCGGCAUUGACGCUGAGGCGCGAAAGCCAGGGGAGCAAACGGG